RNAcentral lists this ribosomal RNA (520 nucleotides) under uncultured Glomus. RNAcentral describes it as "SSU rRNA". It matches the Rfam family "Eukaryotic small subunit ribosomal RNA", at positions 569 to 1090 of the family's 1831-position model. Lineage: Eukaryota; Fungi; Glomeromycota; Glomeromycetes; Glomerales; Glomeraceae. The record is from RNAcentral.
AGCAGCCGCGGUAAUUCCAGCUCCAAUAGCGUAUAUUAAAGUUGUUGCAGUUAAAAAGCUCGUAGUUGAAUUUCGGGAUCAAUAUGUCGGUCGUGCCUUCGGUACGUACUGGCAUCAUUGGUUUCUCCCUUCUGACAAACCAUGAUGUCAUUAAUUUGGUGUUAUGGGGAGUUAGGACUGUUACUUUGAAAAAAUUAGAGUGUUUAAAGCAGGCAUUAGCUUGAAUACAUUAGCAUGGAAUAAUGAAAUAGGACGUUUGACCCUAUUUUGUUGGUUUCUUAGGAUCGACGUAAUGAUUAAUAGGGAUAGUUGGGGGCAUUAGUAUUCAAUUGUCAGAGGUGAAAUUCUUGGAUUUAUUGAAGACUAACUACUGCGAAAGCAUUUGCCAAGGAUGUUUUCAUUAAUCAAGAACGAAAGUUAGGGGAUCGAAGACGAUCAGAUACCGUCGUAGUCUUAACCAUAAACUAUGCCGACUAGGGAUCGGAUGAUGUUAAUUUUUAAUGACUCAUUCGGCGCCUUA